UACGGAGGAUGCGAGCGUUAUCCGGAUUUAUUAGGUUUAAAGGGUGUGUAGGCGGAAGUCUAAGUCAGUGGUGAAAUCCCCCAGCUUAACUGGGGAACUGCCAUAGAUACUGGAUUUCUUGAGUACAGUUGAAGUAGGCGGAAUGUGUAAUGUAGCGGUGAAAUGCUUAGAUAUUACACAGAACACCGAUUGCGAAGGCAGCUUGCUAAGCUGUUACUGACGCUCAUGCACGAAAGCGUGGGGAGCAAACAGGAUUAGAUACCCGGGUAGU
This 271-nucleotide ribosomal RNA is filed under the name uncultured bacterium. Its description in RNAcentral is "partial 16S ribosomal RNA". It matches the Rfam family "Bacterial small subunit ribosomal RNA", at positions 524 to 794 of the family's 1533-position model. The record is from RNAcentral.